Molecule: long non-coding RNA, 288 nt
Filed under: Trifolium pratense (red clover)
Lineage: Eukaryota; Viridiplantae; Streptophyta; Magnoliopsida; Fabales; Fabaceae
Description: long non-coding RNA (TPRA_LNC003390)
Source: RNAcentral
CUAUAUUCGCUUGGAAGGCCCACCUUGUUCUUAAGAAGAAAUUUAACCUAGCCUUGAAAAUUAAAUGAUACAGAAUAGCAGUGCUUUUUGUGUGUGUUUUUUUAAUGAAACAGUGAAUGUAUUUAUUUGUGAACAUUGUAUACAUGUUAUUUAUUUAUAUCAAUAUUGUACUUUUUAACCUCGUCUGUAUUUGAAGUAGCAAUGUUGGCGGUGGCAGCUGCAGCAUGUAUGUGUGUAUUUUCGUAUGAACAAAUUCAUAUUUAUGUUGUUUAUGUUAGACUAGUUCAC